This is a non-coding RNA of Potamilus streckersoni, 77 nucleotides long. The record is from the annotation of a GenBank genome assembly. NCBI's taxonomy places the organism in Eukaryota, Metazoa, Mollusca, Bivalvia, Unionida, Unionidae.
GCUCCAGUGGUCUAGUGGUUAGAGCGUCCGCCUCGGAUGCGGGUGGUCGUGGGUUCUAUCCCAGGUUGAAUUUUGCC